UACGGGGGGGGCAAGCGUUGUUCGGAAUUACUGGGCGUAAAGGGCUCGUAGGCGGCCAACUAAGUCCGACGUGAAAUCCCCAGGCUUAACCUGGGAACUGCGUCGGAUACUGGAUGGCUUGAAUUCGGGAGAGGGAUGCAGAAUUCCAGGUGUAGCGGUGAAAUGCGUAGAUAUCUGGAGGAACACCGGUGGCGAAGGCGGCGUUCUGGACUGUUACUGACACUGAGGAACGAAAGCCAGGGGAGCAAACGGG
Molecule: ribosomal RNA, 253 nt
Filed under: uncultured bacterium
Lineage: Bacteria
Description: partial 16S ribosomal RNA
Rfam family: Bacterial small subunit ribosomal RNA
Source: RNAcentral